Molecule: long non-coding RNA, 236 nt
Organism: Nematolebias whitei (Rio pearlfish)
Lineage: Eukaryota; Metazoa; Chordata; Actinopteri; Cyprinodontiformes; Rivulidae
Exons: 3
Source: RefSeq, a predicted model, not a curated record
GGGAAAAAGAUGUGAACCCAGUCGAGGGUCUUCUGAAGUACGUAAUGAACCAGGAUCGCCCAUCAGAUGAGCUAAUAGAAAAGGAGGGAAGUGUAUGCCUGACACAGGAGGAUUUCUGGCUCUUGGGAUUAAAUCAGCGCAUGGAAUCAAACACUUUGAUGAGAAGAGACCCGGGAAAGGCUGCAGGCAGCGAGGCAAAAGACUCAGGAGAAGUACUGGAGAGUGCGAGCUAGACA